CUUAUCUCAUUAGUCAAUAGUAAUCGAAUGCGAAGCGCGGUGAGUCUCACUCCUCAGACGACUCUCUCCUCCAUUGCACGAAUGGCCAGAAGUCUAGGAGGAUUUCUGGUGCUGCUCGUGGCAGCAUUGAUCUGCUUAGCUUUCGUUGUCUCUGCUGCUUCGAUCUUUCAACCAAUUUCUGACUCCCACCGAUCUGCCGCUUUGGA
This 206-nucleotide unclassified non-coding RNA is filed under the name Hevea brasiliensis (rubber tree). Lineage: Eukaryota; Viridiplantae; Streptophyta; Magnoliopsida; Malpighiales; Euphorbiaceae. The record is from RNAcentral.